GACGAACGCUGGCGGCGUGCUUAACACAUGCAAGUCGAACGGAAAGGCCCUGCUUUUUUGGGGUGCUCGAGUUGCUAACGGGUGAGUAACACGUGAGUAACCUGCCCUUGACUUUGGGAUAACUUCAGGUUACUGGGGCUUAUUCCUGAUAGGAGCUCCUGCUUCUUGGUGUGGGUUGUAAAGUUUCGGCGGUUUGUGUUUGACUCGCGGCUUAUCAGCUUGUUGGUGGGGUAGUGGCUUACCAAGGCUUUGACGGGUAGCCGGCCUGAGAGGGUGACAGGCCACAGAGGGACAGGGAAGGGACCAGUAGGGAUACGGGAGGCAGCAGUGAAGAUUAGUGCAAGAAGGGCGGAAGGAUGAAGCAGGAACGCCGCGUGGGGGAUGACGGCCAUCGGGGUGUAAACCGCUUUCGGCUGUGAGGAAGAGUGAGUGACGGUAAUGGGUAAAGAAGCAACGGCUAACUACGUG
RNAcentral lists this ribosomal RNA (468 nucleotides) under uncultured bacterium. Its description in RNAcentral is "partial 16S ribosomal RNA". It matches the Rfam family "Bacterial small subunit ribosomal RNA", at positions 28 to 507 of the family's 1533-position model. The record is from RNAcentral.